AGAGUUUGAUCCUGGCUCAGGAUGAACGCUAGCUACAGGCUUAACACAUGCAAGUCGAGGGGCAGCAUGUUGGUUGCUUGCAACCAAUGAUGGCGACCGGCGCACGGGUGAGUAACGCGUAUCUAACCUACCCUUGUCCAUCGGAUAACCCGUCGAAAGGCGGCCUAACACGAUAUGCGGUUCUCAGCAGGCAUCUAACGAGAACGAAAUGUGAAGGAGAAGGAUGGGGAUGCGUCUGAUUAGCUUGUGGCGGGGUAACGGCCACAAGGCGACGAUCAGUAGGGUUCUGAGAGGAAGGUCCCCCANAUUGGAACUGAGACACGGUCCAAAUCCUACGGGAGCA
This 343-nucleotide ribosomal RNA is filed under the name uncultured bacterium. RNAcentral's name for it is "bacterial SSU rRNA". It matches the Rfam family "Bacterial small subunit ribosomal RNA", at positions 8 to 350 of the family's 1533-position model. The record is from RNAcentral.